AUCCUUUGAUGAGGGCAUCUACUUAGUAACUCCUUGAAUCUUUCCCACAUCACUUAUAGGGACUCAACAUCCAUUUGUUCGAAAGUGGUGAUAUCAUUCCGCAACUU
This is a non-coding RNA of Gossypium arboreum, 107 nucleotides long. The record is from Rfam. NCBI's taxonomy places the organism in Eukaryota, Viridiplantae, Streptophyta, Magnoliopsida, Malvales, Malvaceae.